UUUCGCAAGUAUAAUUCUCGAAGCAAAAUAUUAGUGUUUCAAACAAUCCUUAUAAUUAAUUGACCCUAUAAUAGUUCUUAGCAAUUUACCUUCUAUUGAAAUUUGAACACUCGAUCGUGUAUUGAAAGAUUAUUGUAAUCGUUUUUUUGUUUGUUUGUUUGUUUGUUUUUUUAAUGCAGACUUUGGUUAUUUCACUUUCUAGGAAAUGCUGAAGAUCGGGGAUCGUGCUUAGUCAAAGCAUUGUAAUAAUGCCGACUACAAAACAGUCAACAGAUGACUCCACAGUGUGGCUGAAGAUGAGCCAAGCUGAAUGUAUAGUGAUAUUCAAGAUCCUGGAAGGGUUGUAAGAAAAUCAACUGACAUGGUAUAUGACGAGACUGGUUAUUCCCAAUCUGGAAUGAGUGGAAUUAUAAAAGAAGAACUAAAAUAUUUCAUCACUCUGCAUAUGAAACAGGAUUAUUGCUGUACCACAGCAGCCUGGGGAUAUUAUAUCUGCCACUGCUUACAAAUAGUUUGGAAGUAACUGGCAAGAAUGGAGGAACAAGUCCAAGGACAAAGCCAUCUGAUGAUGGGUCAUGCUGUUGAGGAGCACAGAGAAAUGUUUCGAAGCUUGCUCCACAUAUGAAUCAAGUUACGAAAUGUAGGUGAACAAGGAAUGACUCCAGCAGCAAUCCCAUGUUUCAGGUAUUCGCGACAACUAGCCUGAAGACUGUAAAGACUCAAAUUCUUGGUUGUAAAUAAUGUUA
Pomacea canaliculata is the source of this 746-nucleotide long non-coding RNA. RefSeq lists it as uncharacterized. The record is from RefSeq and is a predicted model, not a curated record. NCBI's taxonomy places the organism in Eukaryota, Metazoa, Mollusca, Gastropoda, Architaenioglossa, Ampullariidae. The transcript is spliced from 5 exons.